This 450-nucleotide ribosomal RNA is filed under the name uncultured bacterium. Its description in RNAcentral is "partial 16S ribosomal RNA". It matches the Rfam family "Bacterial small subunit ribosomal RNA", at positions 354 to 796 of the family's 1533-position model. The record is from RNAcentral.
GUGGGGAAUAUUGGACAAUGGGCGCAAGCCUGAUCCAGCAAUGCCGCGUGGGUGAAGAAGGCCUUCGGGUUGUAAACUGCUUUUGUACGGAACGAAACGGUCCGGGUUAAUACCCUGGGCUAAUGACGGUACCGUAAGAAUAAGCACCGGCUAACUACGUGCCAGCAGCCGCGGUAAUACGUAGGGUGCAAGCGUUAAUCGGAAUUACUGGGCGUAAAGCGUGCGCAGGCGGUGCUGUAAGACAGGCGUGAAAUCCCCGGGCUCAACCUGGGGAUUGGGCGUGUGACUGCAGUGCUGGAGUACGGCAGAGGGGGAUGGAAUUCCGCGUGUAGCAGUGAAAUGCGUAGAUAUGCGGAGGAACACCGAUGGCGAAGGCAGUCCCCUGGGCCUGUACUGACGCUCAUGCACGAAAGCGUGGGGAGCAAACAGGAUUAGAUACCCUGGUAGUCC